RNAcentral lists this unclassified non-coding RNA (459 nucleotides) under Hevea brasiliensis (rubber tree). Lineage: Eukaryota; Viridiplantae; Streptophyta; Magnoliopsida; Malpighiales; Euphorbiaceae. The record is from RNAcentral.
GGGGAAACUUGCUAGCCAACCUGAACUUGCAAUUCAGCAUUUCAGCCACCCACACCAAUUGGAGCUUUCCAAUUACCAACCACAACAGACUCUGUGUCUCUCCUCAUGUUCUGCUUGCAAGCUCAAAGCCUCUGGAUGGAUGUACACAUGCAACAAUUGCAACUACUUUCUUCAUAUCUCAUGCUCCCAAUUGCCCCAACAGAUCAGUCACCCAUUUGACCAAAACCAUGUUCUGUCUUUGCUCUCUACCCCCAUCUAUCCAGAAGGCUUAUUCCGCUGUGAUGCUUGUGGCAAGCAAGGCAAUGGCUUCUCUUACCAUUGUGGGAUAUGCAAUAUUGAUCUCCAUGCUACAUGUGCAGCCAUGCCACUAAUUGUCGCCCACCAAUGUCACCAUCACCAGCUCAAUCUCACUUUCUUUGUUCCUUAUCUUAACAAAUGUUUCUCUUGUGAUAUAUGCCA